RNAcentral lists this ribosomal RNA (483 nucleotides) under uncultured bacterium. RNAcentral's name for it is "partial 16S ribosomal RNA". It matches the Rfam family "Bacterial small subunit ribosomal RNA", at positions 28 to 523 of the family's 1533-position model. The record is from RNAcentral.
AAUGAGCGUUGGCGGCGUGGAUUAGGCAUGCAAGUCGAGCGAUAACCGUAGCAAUACGGGGACAGCGGCGAAAGGGAGAGUAACGCGUGGAUAAUCUACCCUCGGGACUGGGAUAGCCGCGGGAAACUGCGGGUAAUACCGGAUAAUGUCUUCGGACCAAAGGUGCGAUUCCGCCCGGGGAUGAGUCCGCGUCCUAUUAGCUAGUUGGUGGGGUAAUGGCCUACCAAGGCGAAGAUGGGUACGGGGUGUGAGAGCAUGCCCCCGCUCACUGGGACUGAGACACUGCCCAGACACCUACGGGUGGCUGCAGUCGAGAAUCUUCGGCAAUGGGCGCAAGCCUGACCGAGCGACGCCGCGUGCGGGAUGAAGGCCUUCGGGUUGUAAACCGCUGUCGGAGGGGAGGAAAUGCACGGGGGUUCUCCCUCGUGUUUGACCUAGCCUCAGAGGAAGGACGGGCUAAGUUCGUGCCAGCAGCCGCAGUAA